AAUUUUAAUAUUUCGUGCCCGGACGAAAACCGGUUACGACAAAGACCAAAGUCAGAUCUUGUUGAAGAGAUUUGGAGAUUACAAGCUGCACUCAGUGAGCAGACUGAAGUCACCAAGUACAGUCAGCAGGAGUUUGAAAGACUUCAAUAUGAAAAGAUUCUGUGUAGAGUUUGCUUUGAGGAACAAAUCAAUGUAGUCCUCCUUCCAUGUAGACAUCAUGUCCUCUGCAGGU
Molecule: long non-coding RNA, 232 nt
Organism: Hibiscus syriacus
Lineage: Eukaryota; Viridiplantae; Streptophyta; Magnoliopsida; Malvales; Malvaceae
Exons: 3
Source: RefSeq, a predicted model, not a curated record